UACGGAGGUGGCAAGCGUUGCUCGGAAUCACUGGGCGUAAAGGGCGCGUAGGCGGGGAGGUAAGUCGGGUGUGAAAUCCCUCGGCCCAACUGAGGAACUGCGCCCGAGACUGCUUCUCUUGAGUCCCGGAGAGGAAGGUGGAAUUCCCGGUGUAGCGGUGAAAUGUGUAGAGAUCGGGAGGAACACCGGUGGCGAAGGCGGCCUUCUGGACGGUGACUGACGCUGAGGCGCGAAAGCGUGGGGAGCAAACAGG
RNAcentral lists this ribosomal RNA (253 nucleotides) under uncultured bacterium. RNAcentral's name for it is "partial 16S ribosomal RNA". It matches the Rfam family "Bacterial small subunit ribosomal RNA", at positions 524 to 776 of the family's 1533-position model. The record is from RNAcentral.